AAGGAUCAUUACCCUAUACCAUCGGGGGGCCGGCCCUGGAGAUUGCGGCACCCAUCAGGGAAGCCCUCUCUCCUGCCCGCCCUGUCUGAAUCUACCCAUGAUUUUUGCGUACCCAUUGUUUCCUCGGCAGGCUUGCUUGCCAGUAGGACAUUUUUCAACCUUUUGUAAUUGCAGUCAGCGUCAGAAAAACUUAAUAGUUACAACUUUCAACAACGGAUCUCUUGGUUCUG
This 230-nucleotide unclassified non-coding RNA is filed under the name uncultured fungus. Its description in RNAcentral is "partial contains 18S rRNA, ITS1, 5.8S rRNA, ITS2 and 28S rRNA". Lineage: Eukaryota; Fungi. The record is from RNAcentral.